GUAUUCUAUGAAAGGAGAGGAGGUUAGCAAGCACUUUGACAAGGAUGGAAGAGGCCCUUGGGCCUGACAGCACACAACAUAGUUAAGGCAUUGCCACCUACUUCAUGGCAUCUAACCAUUGUUUUAU
Small nuclear RNA from Neomonachus schauinslandi (Hawaiian monk seal), 127 nucleotides. The record is from RefSeq and is a predicted model, not a curated record. NCBI's taxonomy places the organism in Eukaryota, Metazoa, Chordata, Mammalia, Carnivora, Phocidae.